Salvelinus namaycush (lake trout) is the source of this 1635-nucleotide long non-coding RNA. RefSeq lists it as uncharacterized. NCBI's taxonomy places the organism in Eukaryota, Metazoa, Chordata, Actinopteri, Salmoniformes, Salmonidae. The record is from RefSeq and is a predicted model, not a curated record. The transcript is spliced from 3 exons.
CCCAGGUCGUUGCUGCAAAUAAGAACGUGUUCUCAGUCAAUUUACCUGGUAAAAUAACGGAUAAAUAAAAAUAAAAAAUAAAACAGAUGUUAUGCGUCUAUUUAUCUUCUAGGGCCCUUGUCAAGGUCAACGGCAUCAUGAACUUUUCCCGGUACCCGUACGUUUUUUGCCAAAAACCUGGUUGCCUUGGCCACAAGUGGAUCUUCCAGCAAGGAAAUAACCCCAAGCACACAUCAAAGUCAACAUUGUGCAAUGGCCAUUUCAGUGUCUGGACUUGAACCCCAUUGAAAUCCUGUUGGUUUGAAAUAAAGGGGGCGGUCCAUAAGUGCAGACAAAGAAUAUCAAGGAUCUAGAAAUGUUCUGUAUGGAGGAAUGAGAUCCCUGUCAAUGUGUUCUCCCAUCUCAUUACCAUGUUCUGUAUGGAGGAAUGAGAUCCCUCUCAAUGUGUUCUCCCAUCUCAUUACCAUGUUCUGUAUGGAGGAAUGAGAUCCCUCUCAAUGUGUUCUCCCAUCUCAUUACCAUGUUCUGUAUGGAGGAAUGAGAUCCCUCUCAAUGUGUUCUCCCAUCUCAUUACCAUGUUCUGUAUGGAGGAAUGAGAUCCCUCUCAAUGUGUUCUCCCAUCUCAUUACCAUGUUCUGUGAAUAAGGAGGAUUAGUGUGAGAAUGGGCGACGUGUGUGUGUGUGUGUGUGUGUAGGGGGCAUUUAUACAGUACCCUAUAUAUGCAGUGAUCACCAACAGUGUCUGGUUUAGACGUGGUUGCCAUAGCAGUAAGCUACUACACCAUCACAACUGAUUUUUCUAGUUGGAUUCAUUCAACCAAAGCUUAGCUGGUCAUUGAGUGCCAUUGGAUCUGGCUUGUUCUUGUGAACCACCGGUGGUGUGUCUAUUGAACUGAAUUCUCAUGGUGAAACUAUUCCUUUAUAAAUUAUUUUUUCAAAAGCAACAUUAAACAUCUAAUAGUUAUAGUGUAAAAGCAGCUGAGCUGGGGAAGGAGAAAGGAGAUACCUAGUCAGUAGGGUCUACAGACAACCACGGACUAUAAAGGGAAAACCAGCCACCAGGACACUGACGUCUUGCUUCCGGACAGGCUGACCACCUUCUGCCCUCACUUUGAGGAUAACACAGUGCCACCGACGAGGUCCGCUAUCAAGGACUGUGCCACUGACGAGGUCCGCUAUCAAGGACUGUGCCACCGACGAGGUCCGCUAUCAAGGACUGUGCCACCGACGAGGUCUGCUAUCAAGGACUGUGCCACUGACGAGGUCCGCUAUCAAGGACUGUGCCACCGACGAGGUCCGCUAUCAAGGACUGUGCCACUGACGAGGUCCGCUAUCAAGGACUGUGCCACCGACGAGGUCCGCUAUCAAGGACUGUGCCACCGACGAGGUCUGCUAUCAAGGACUGUGCCACCGACGAGGUCUGCUAUCAAGGACUGUGCCACCGACGAGGUCCGCUAUCAAGGACUGUGGGCUCUCCUUCUCCGUGGCCGACAUCCACAGAUGAUGCAAUCGCUGCCACACUGCACUCUGCCGUAUCCCAUCUGGACAAGAGGAAUACCUAUGUAAGAAUGCUGUUCAUCGACUACAGCUCAGCAUUCAACACCAUAGUACCCUCCAAGCUCAUCAUCAAGCUGU